GACGAACGCUGGCGGCGUGCUUAACACAUGCAAGUCGAACGGAAAGGCCCUGCUUUUGUGGGUUGCUCGAGUGGCGAACGGGUGAGUAACACGUGAGUAACCUGCCCUUGACUUUGUGAUAACUUCAGGAAACUGGGGCUCAUACCGGAUAUGAUCUCCUGCUGCAUGGUGUGGGUUGGAAAGUUUCGGCGGUUGGGGAUGGACUCGCGGCUUAUCAGCUUGUUGGUGGGGUAGUGGCUUACCAAGGCUUUGACGGGUAGCCUGCCUGAGAGGGUGACCGGCCACAUUGGGACUGAGAUACGGACCAGACUCCUACGGGAGGCAGCAGGGGGGAAUAUUGCACAAUGGGGCGAAGUCUGAUGCAGAAACGCCGCGUGCGGGAUGACGGCCUUCGGGUUGUAAACAGAUUUCGACGGUGACGAAGAGGGAGUGACGGUAAUGGGUAAAGAAGCAACGGCUAACUACGUG
Molecule: ribosomal RNA, 468 nt
Filed under: uncultured bacterium
Lineage: Bacteria
Description: partial 16S ribosomal RNA
Rfam family: Bacterial small subunit ribosomal RNA
Source: RNAcentral